CCCCUACUUGUUAGUUGCCAUCAUUCAGUUGGGCGACUCUAGCGGAGACGUGCCGGUAAGUAAACCGGAGGAAGGUGGGGAGUGACGUCAAAUCAUCAUGCCCUAUGACCUGGGCUACACACGUGCUACAAUGGUUGGUACAACGAGUUGCGAGUCGGUGACGGCGAGCUAAUCUCUUAAAGCCAAUCUCAGUUCGGAUUGUAGGCUGCAACUCGCCUACAUGAAGUCGGAAUCGCUAGUAACCGCGGAUCAGCACGCCGCGGUGAAUACGUUCCCGGGCCUU
RNAcentral lists this ribosomal RNA (283 nucleotides) under uncultured Streptococcus sp. RNAcentral's name for it is "partial 16S ribosomal RNA". It matches the Rfam family "Bacterial small subunit ribosomal RNA", at positions 1098 to 1382 of the family's 1533-position model. Lineage: Bacteria; Bacillati; Bacillota; Bacilli; Lactobacillales; Streptococcaceae. The record is from RNAcentral.